CUUCAUCCUCUCCUCUUCACUCACCCUCACACUUUGAUGCGCUGCAUCCCGCUCUACUUUGUUUUGUUUAUUUUUUUUUGCUGUGGGUCAGAUCGAAACUGCAGCUCCCACACCAAUUAUAGAGAGUAAAAACUGCCCGAGUGAGGGUGAUGUUUUCUCUUACACUCUGUUGCUGGUACUGUUGAGGACACACGGUCCCCACUUCCUCCACUGCCAGCUGACCGUGGGAGCUGGGAGGCCAUAGGCGGUACACGUUAGCGUCUGGCCGCUGCCGCUGGGGGCCGCUGCAUUGUUCUUCAGCACCACCGUGUAGAGGCCAGCAUCGCCGGGACCGACAUCCUUGAUCUCCAAGGCGUGGUUCAGGCCAUUUCUGUUAUUGCCCCACUCAACACUGAAGAGUGGCAGAAGGCUCCACUGAAGAGAUGUAGGGACAACUCUUCGGAGGCUAUCACAGCUGGUAUUAGGCGAGGAUGUAGCAAAUUUGCAUUCUGCCAGAACUGUCCCAGGAGGAGAUGAAUUUGUAGACACCUGAAGCUUCAUGUUGCGUUUUUCAUCAAAUACUCAUGAACCUCUCCAAUUAAUACAAAAUGUGAAUGUAGCUGCCCACGCUUACGUUUAUCAACCACUGUGAAUUUCUAAUUUAUAAAUGGUUAAUCGAGCUUGUCUCUGGGGUCUGACUGAUGCAAAGUCAACAACCGCGCUUCUAAUUACGCCGAAGCGGCUUUGAAAUUGAAAUGAUAUUGGAAUGGGAGAAGUGUUUUCGUAGAAGAGCUGAUGUUUUUUGCCCCCAAAUUCCCAACAAAAUGAGAAACUAAACACCAAGCCCAGAUGGUUGGGCUGACCAUCUUUGGCACAAGGUGAAAUGACUUCUUCAGUGAGAGAACGACUUGGGAUGAAAAAGAGAAACUGCCGACUCAUUGCAGCAGCAGUAAAAACAAAAUGACUGUUCAAACGCAGGGAAGAGGAUGUUUUCUCCAAACCCAUCUUUUUUUCAAAAGCGCGCACUGCAUAUCACCUUUUUUUCGGCUUUUCCCUAUUUGGUCUUUUGGAUGAGAGCGCUCCAAUUUUAAGGCUCAUUACUUUUUAAGUUUUGGCAUAUGUUUUACGGACGCCCUUCCAUAUUUAUCAUGGUUAGCCGAGCUGGCUCUCCCUCUCUCCCCAGAUGCUAAGUUCUACACUGUCUCAAAUGCGAUGAAUAAUUGUUAAUAAGCCUCAAAUGAACAGUGUGUGUGUAGUACUAACUGUAUUAGGGGAGCGGGGGACAUUCAUUUCAACCUUCAAUGUGUAAAGAAUGUUGUAUUUAAUACAGAGUAGUGAUUUCAUCCAUGCAUCCGCUUUAUAACACUUACCCUUGACUGUUUGCCACUCAGUUAAAGUAACUGUAAAUGGGUACUGAAGGUAAUGGCGAACCCUGUCUAGAACUCAAGUGGUGUUUUUAAUAACACUUCAACACACCUCUCAGUUCCUUAGUACAGCACUAAUAUUAGUGUUUCUAUGCAGAUGAAGGAUCUAUGGAUGGAUAUAAAGGAUACAUAAAUGUGAGUACUAUUAUAUUCUCAGUGCACAUGUUGCUGCUGCACCAUUUGUGUUCACAUAUAUGUUAGUGUAUACAUUAUGCGAGCGGACUAAGAGAC
Molecule: long non-coding RNA, 1634 nt
Organism: Hippocampus zosterae (dwarf seahorse)
Lineage: Eukaryota; Metazoa; Chordata; Actinopteri; Syngnathiformes; Syngnathidae
Exons: 4
Source: RefSeq, a predicted model, not a curated record